Molecule: long non-coding RNA, 626 nt
Filed under: Pan troglodytes (chimpanzee)
Lineage: Eukaryota; Metazoa; Chordata; Mammalia; Primates; Hominidae
Description: long non-coding RNA NONPTRT003069
Source: RNAcentral
AAAAGUCAGCGUUUUUUCCCCCAAUGUUCACAGAUGUUCAUGUUCCUGUCUUAAUGCUCUCUAGCCACCCUUUAGCCCCGUUCUUACCAGCUAGAUUGUUAUAGCAGUCUGUCUGGGUGGUAUGCAGUAUGUUUUCUUGUUCAGGCGUGAGGGCCGGGCCCUGAGGUCCGAGAUUAGGUAACGGAGAGGGCAGACUCGGAUCCAGACCCCGCAGCUGAAGCAGAGCUCGAUGGUACCUACUCACAGCAUCUCGGUACUUCCCUUCCCGGUAGCGCUGGUUCCCUUCCUCCUUGUACAGCUGAGCCUCCUGCAGACGCUUCUCCAUAACUGUCGCCCACGGUUCUUGCGGAACUGGGGUGAAGGAGCAAGUGAAGCUCUGGGGUUGGGAGCAAAAUAACUGACAGUAGCAGCCAAUUUAAGGAGGCAGGAAAUUACCCUUCUUCCUGGAGAGUCCCCCCACAGGGACCUGCGGUUUGCUUGUUUCUACUGAAAGCCCCACCUCUCCUUUCUGCAGUCUUUUUCUCAAGAAGUGCAGGCAAGUAGUUAGGAAAGGGAUGUGGGAAUAAUGAAGCCAAACAUUAAGUGACUUCCUAAAGAGGCGACGUGGGGGUGAUGAGACUUUUCCG